Molecule: ribosomal RNA, 689 nt
Filed under: uncultured bacterium
Lineage: Bacteria
Description: bacterial SSU rRNA
Rfam family: Bacterial small subunit ribosomal RNA
Source: RNAcentral
CCCUUAGAGUUUGAUCCUGGCUCAGAAUCAACGCUGGCGGCGUGCCUAACACAUGCAAGUCGAGCGAGAAAAGGGGAGCAAUCCCCUGAGUAAAGCGGCGCACGGGUGAGUAACACGUGGGUAAUCUGCCCUGGAGUGGGGAAUAACACCGGGAAACCGGUGCUAAUACCGCAUACGAUGAUGAGGUCUGCGGACUUCGUCAUGAAAGGAGCAAUUCGCUCCAGGAGGAGCCCGCGGCUGAUUAGCUAGUUGGCGAGGUAAUGGCUCACCAAGGCUUCGAUCAGUAUCCGGUCUGAGAGGACGGUCGGACACACUGGAACUGAGACACGGUCCAGACUCCUACGGGAGGCAGCAGUGGGGAAUUUUUGGCAAUGGGGGCAACCCUGACCAAGCAACGCCGCGUGGGUGAUGAAGUCUCUUGGGACGUAAAACCCUUUCGACGGGGAAGAAAACCGCAAGGUUUGACGGUACCCGUAGAAGAAGCCCCGGCUAACUCCGUGCCAGCAGCCGCGGUAAUACGGGGGGGGCAAGCGUUGUUCGGAAUUACUGGGCGUAAAGGGUGCGUAGGCGGUUCGCUAAGUUGGAUGUGAAAACUAUGGGCUCAACUCAUAGCUUGCAUCCAAUACUGACGGACUAGAGUUCUGGAGGGGGUAGCGGAAUUCCUGGUGUAGCGGUGAAAUGCGUAGAUA